AAUAUUUGACAAUGGGGGCAACCCUGAUCCAGCCAUGCCGCGUGUGUGAAGAAGGUCUUCGGAUUGUAAAGCACUUUAAGUUGUGAGGAAGGGCUUUAGGUUAAUACCCUGAAUUUUUGACGUUACCAGCAGAAUAAGCACCGGCUAACUCUGUCCCAUCAGCCGCGGUAAUACAGCGGGUGCAAGCGUUAAUCGGAAUUACUGGGCGUAAAGCGCGCGUAGGUGGUUCAGUAAGAUGGGUGUGAAAGCCCCGGGAUUAACCUGGGAACUGCUUUCAUAACUGCUGAGCUAGAGUACGGUAGAGGGUAGUGGAAUUUCCUGUGUAGCGGUGAAAUGCGUAGAUAUAGGAAGGAACACCAGUGGCGAAGGCGACUACCUGGACUGAUACUGACACUGAGGUGCGAAAGCGUGGGGAGCAAAC
Molecule: ribosomal RNA, 421 nt
Filed under: uncultured bacterium
Lineage: Bacteria
Description: partial 16S ribosomal RNA
Rfam family: Bacterial small subunit ribosomal RNA
Source: RNAcentral